AUGAACCGCUAUGGUAUGCCAUUCAUACCUUUUGUUGGUCUUAACAAUCACCGGAAGACCACUGUUUUUGGUUGUGCCAUAGUUUCGGACGAGACCGAGGAGACAUACGUGUGGCUUCUGCAGACUUUUUUGAGGUCCAUGUGUCAAAAGAUGCCUAAGAGUGUUAUCACAGACGCCGACGCUGCGAUGAUCAAGGCAAUUCGCGAAGUCAUGCCAGACGUGUGGCACCGUAUAUGUACGUGGCACAUAGAGAAAAAUAUGAAGAUUCACCUCAGUCACAAGUCCUUGAAGGAGUUCCGAACUCUUCUG
RNAcentral lists this ribosomal RNA (309 nucleotides) under Triticum aestivum (bread wheat). RNAcentral describes it as "partial small subunit ribosomal RNA". Lineage: Eukaryota; Viridiplantae; Streptophyta; Magnoliopsida; Poales; Poaceae. The record is from RNAcentral.